CCAGGAGCUUAUGCCUGGGACAGCCCCCACUGGCUUAUAGGUGGAUCAGCCGGUCAGGAGCUCAUGCCUGGGACAACCCAUCAAGAGCUUAUACCUAGGACAACCUCUCAUGAACUUUCGUACGUGGGACAGCCGGUCAGGAGCUCAUCCUGGGACAGCCUUGAAAGGUUUUUAAGUGAAAAUUGAUUCGAAUAAUGACUGGGGUAUAGAC
Molecule: long non-coding RNA, 211 nt
Filed under: Elaeis guineensis (African oil palm)
Lineage: Eukaryota; Viridiplantae; Streptophyta; Magnoliopsida; Arecales; Arecaceae
Description: long non-coding RNA (EGUI_LNC035095)
Source: RNAcentral